GAGGGGAUAGCUCGGUGGUAGAGUGCCUGCCUAGCACGCACCAGGUCCUGAGUUCAUUCCCCAGUGCCUUUA
Molecule: transfer RNA, 72 nt
Filed under: Camelus bactrianus (Bactrian camel)
Lineage: Eukaryota; Metazoa; Chordata; Mammalia; Artiodactyla; Camelidae
Also listed under: 2 other names
Rfam family: tRNA
About the family: Transfer RNA (tRNA) molecules are approximately 80 nucleotides in length.
Source: Rfam by way of RNAcentral